This 1394-nucleotide ribosomal RNA is filed under the name metagenome. RNAcentral's name for it is "bacterial LSU rRNA". It matches the Rfam family "Bacterial large subunit ribosomal RNA", at positions 1525 to 2925 of the family's 2925-position model. The record is from RNAcentral.
CUGUCGGCGAGUCAAAUGCUUGCCGGCUCAAGGACAAGCUGUGACGGGUAUGAACGAUUUAUCGUUCUAAGUGAGUGACGCCACACCGCCAAGAAAAGCUUCUAGUUAGAAUCAGACCGCCCGUACCGCAAACCGACACAGGUAGUCGGGUCGAGAAGACCAAGGUGAGCGAGAGAACUUUCGUUAAGGAACUCGGCAAAAUGACCCCGUAACUUCGGGAGAAGGGGUGCUGAUCGCAAGAUCAGCCGCAGUGAAUAGGCCCAGGCGACUGUUUAUCAAAAAUACAGGUUUCUGCAAAAUCGUAAGAUGAAGUAUAGGGGCUGACGCCUGCCCGGUGCUGGAAGGUUAAGAGGAUGGGUUAGCGCAAGCGAAGCUCAGAAUUGAAGCCCCAGUAAACGGCGGCCGUAACAAUAACGGUCCUAAGGUAGCGAAAUUCCUUGUCGGGUAAGUUCCGACCCGCACGAAAGGCGUAACGAUCUGGGCACUGUCUCAACGAGAGACUCGGUGAAAUUAUAAUACCCGUGAAGAUGCGGGUUACCCGCGACAGGACGGAAAGACCCCAUGGAGCUUUACUGUAGCUUGAUAUUGGGUGUUUGUACAACUUGUACAGGAUAGGUAGGAGCCGUAGAAGUCGGGACGCUAGUUUCGACGGAGGCAUCGGUGGGAUACUACCCUCGUUGUAUGAACACUCUAACCCACGCCGGCAAUCACGGCGGGAGACAGUGUCAGGUGGGCAGUUUGACUGGGGCGGUCGCCUCCUAAAAGGUAACGGAGGCGCCCAAAGGUUCCCUCAGAAUGGUUGGAAAUCAUUCGCAGAGUGUAAAGGCAUAAGGGAGCUUGACUGCGAGACCUACAAGUCGUGCAGGGACGAAAGUCGGGCUUAGUGAUCCGGUGGUCCCGCAUGGAAGGGCCAUCGCUCAACGGAUAAAAGCUACCCUGGGGAUAACAGGCUUAUCUCCCCCAAGAGUCCACAUCGACGGGGAGGUUUGGCACCUCGAUGUCGGCUCAUCGCAUCCUGGGGCUGUAGUCGGUCCCAAGGGUUGGGCUGUUCGCCCAUUAAAGCGGUACGCGAGCUGGGUUCAGAACGUCGUGAGACAGUUCGGUCCCUAUCCGUCGCGGGCGCAGGAAAUUUGAGAGGAUCUGUCCUUAGUACGAGAGGACCGGGAUGGACAUACCGCUGGUGUACCAGUUGUUCUGCCAAGGGCAUCGCUGGGUAGCUAUGUAUGGAUGAGAUAAACGCUGAAAGCAUCUAAGUGCGAAACUCACCUCGAGAUAAGAUUUCCCACUCCUUUAUGGAGUUAAGACCCCUGAGAGAUGAUCAGGUAGAUAGGAUGGAAGUGGAAGUGCGGCGACGCAUGGAGCGGACCAUUACUAAUCGGUCGAGGACUUAACCU